AUAUGUCUAUAACAAUUCAAAUCAAAGAUUAAAACAACGAAAACAAAGAUAACAUCAAUAUUGAGAGACAACUAAAACCAUAUAUAAAACCAUGAUCAAUAGAAACACAUACUAAUAAAGUAAUUUACACUUAAUUCCAACAAAAGUGUCUUUAACUACUCAUUACCAUGAUAGCUUUACACAAAUGAGAAGAAAAGAGAUGAAAUAACAACACCGGUUGAUUUCUCGAA
This 230-nucleotide long non-coding RNA is filed under the name Trifolium pratense (red clover). Its description in RNAcentral is "long non-coding RNA (TPRA_LNC011880)". Lineage: Eukaryota; Viridiplantae; Streptophyta; Magnoliopsida; Fabales; Fabaceae. The record is from RNAcentral.